UACGUAGGGGGCAAGCGUUAUCCGGAUUUACUGGGUGUAAAGGGAGCGUAGACGGUUAUGUAAGUCUGAAGUGAAAGCCCGGGGCCCAACCCCGGGACUGCUUUGGAAACUGUGUAACUAGAGUACAGGAGGGGCAGGCGGAAUCCCUGGUGUAGCGGUGAAAUGCGUAGAUAUCAGGAGGAACACCGGCGGCGAAGGCGGCCUGCUGGACUGAAACUGACGUUGAGGCUCGAAAGCGUGGGGAGCAAACAGG
RNAcentral lists this ribosomal RNA (253 nucleotides) under uncultured bacterium. Its description in RNAcentral is "partial 16S ribosomal RNA". It matches the Rfam family "Bacterial small subunit ribosomal RNA", at positions 524 to 776 of the family's 1533-position model. The record is from RNAcentral.